AGAGAGCUAGAGAGGUUUGACUGAAAGGUUAAGAGGAGGGGAGAGUUGAACAGUGAACACAUGUCCUCACAUGACCUUCGUGUCUUUGCCAUGUGAUAACAAGUACAACUCUCUCUUAAACAUGCGAUGAGACACUACUAAUCAUCUCUGAUUUACCAUUUGGGCAUAUAAAAAAAAAAAAUCACCAUUGGGUCACAUAAUUACAUAAAAGUUAUAACCUUCAGAGA
RNAcentral lists this long non-coding RNA (227 nucleotides) under Capsella rubella. Its description in RNAcentral is "long non-coding RNA (CRUB_LNC002015)". The record is from RNAcentral. Lineage: Eukaryota; Viridiplantae; Streptophyta; Magnoliopsida; Brassicales; Brassicaceae.